CAUUCACACAGACCAUGAGUC
Molecule: non-coding RNA, 21 nt
Filed under: Arabidopsis thaliana (thale cress)
Lineage: Eukaryota; Viridiplantae; Streptophyta; Magnoliopsida; Brassicales; Brassicaceae
Source: RNAcentral